GCGUCGUUCGUUCAUUUUGAAUCGACACACUUUCAGGGUGUGUCCAUUAAAUACUGCGAUUGCACGCAUGCAAGAGAGGGCACCCUUUACCAAGGCUGUGCAAAGGUGUGAUGGCUGCCAGCAGUUUGUACAGUUCACAAGUCCUGUGGUUGGAAAGUCGUGGGCUUUGCAGAGGGUUAGAUCUUAACGGACUGAACAUGGCUCCAUGUGGAAUUGGACCACACAUCUGAAGGUGGUUUAAGGUCUAACCUGAGGAUGCCAUCUGAACUAAUCAUAGCUUCUGCCAUUUGAGUUGUGUGAAGACCACAUCAUGAGGCUUGCUGACAUGCACAGCUUCUGCCAUUGAGGCAUGUGAAGACCACAUCAACCUUGCAGACAUGAGGUCCAACUCUGCACAGAUGGAAGCAGUCCUCAGAAUGAGAAUGGUUCCUUGGGCUUCCUCCCCAGUGUCCUCAUGGUUUGGCUGACGUGCUGCACUGAAGACUCUAUCCAGACUCUAUUCCUCCAUAUUAUGCUGAUUUGAAGUCCUUGGCAGCUGUCCUGGCCUGAUGCAACUGAAAGAGGUGCCAUACAGGAAGACUAAUAUAUGCUGAAGGACUGGAUCUGAAGUGUUGAACAGCUUUCCUGGCCAGAUGCAACUUAGAGGUGCCAUAGGAAGACUCGUCUAUGCUAAAGAGAUUUGAAGCUCCCUGCUGCUGUAACAAGAUGGCUUUCUUGUACUGUAAAAUUGUAGUCCUGUUUGUAAAAUAAAUGUGUGACUGUAA
Alosa sapidissima (American shad) is the source of this 764-nucleotide long non-coding RNA. RefSeq lists it as uncharacterized. The transcript is spliced from 15 exons. The record is from RefSeq and is a predicted model, not a curated record. NCBI's taxonomy places the organism in Eukaryota, Metazoa, Chordata, Actinopteri, Clupeiformes, Clupeidae.